Molecule: ribosomal RNA, 407 nt
Filed under: uncultured bacterium
Lineage: Bacteria
Description: partial 16S ribosomal RNA
Rfam family: Bacterial small subunit ribosomal RNA
Source: RNAcentral
AUUGAACGCUGGCGGCAGGCCUAACACAUGCAAGUCGAGCGGAGCGGCGGACGGGUGAGUAAUGCCUAGGAAUCUGCCUGGUAGUGGGGGAUAACGUCCGGAAACGGGCGCUAAUACCGCAUACUAUCAGAUGAGCCUAGGUCGGAUUAGCUAGUUGGGGGGGUAAAGGCCUACCAAGGCGACGAUCCGUAACUGGUCUGAGAGGAUGAUCAGUCACACGUGAACGGAGACAUGGUCCAGAGUACUACGGGAGGCAGCAGUGGGGAAUAUGGGACAAUGGGCGGAAGCCUGAUCCAGCCGUGCCGCGUGUGUGAAGAAGGUCUGCGGAUUGUAAAGCACUUUAAGUUGGGAGGCGUUACUAACAGAAGAAGCACCGGCUAACUUCGUGCCAGCAGCCGCGGUAAUUC